UUUUUCAACUUUCUUCUUUUUCUUUUUAGAUUCUUACUCAUAUUCAUUAGAUUUUCUCAAUUUCUAAUAGAUACCCAAAACUUAUCUGUUGAUAUUCUAACAAUAACCCCAUACUUAAUUUAGACACAUCUUUGAGACGUAAUUCUUCUAAUCCAAGUAAGGUAGGGGAGUGUUUAAGCCAAAGGUUACACUUAGGGUUAAAACCAAACAAAAGGGAAACAA
Molecule: long non-coding RNA, 222 nt
Filed under: Lathyrus oleraceus (garden pea)
Lineage: Eukaryota; Viridiplantae; Streptophyta; Magnoliopsida; Fabales; Fabaceae
Description: Pisum sativum (pea) long non-coding RNA (PSAT_LNC028362)
Source: RNAcentral